This is a non-coding RNA of Ornithorhynchus anatinus (platypus), 138 nucleotides long. Lineage: Eukaryota; Metazoa; Chordata; Mammalia; Monotremata; Ornithorhynchidae. The record is from Rfam.
UCCCUCUCAGGAUCACACCUGGAGGGUUUCCAGUACUCUACCAGUCUCGGCUAAGGGAUGGAGAGUCAAGCAGAGGCCUACCCAUUCCAUUCCUAGCUUGGCCAGUGACUAGCGAGUGGAAGGCAAUCUGCUACAUGU